Molecule: non-coding RNA, 30 nt
Filed under: Homo sapiens (human)
Lineage: Eukaryota; Metazoa; Chordata; Mammalia; Primates; Hominidae
Source: RNAcentral
UCAAUGGAAGCUCCAUUGUGCCUCUCGAUC